Molecule: long non-coding RNA, 359 nt
Filed under: Crocodylus porosus (Australian saltwater crocodile)
Lineage: Eukaryota; Metazoa; Chordata; Crocodylia; Crocodylidae
Description: lncRNA (ENSCPRG00005006473.1)
Source: RNAcentral
GAGCUCAAAUAAACUCUGUCUACUUCUCCCCCCAGUGUGUUUAUUUGGCGCGACGCACACCGGGCAACGAACCCAAUUGUUGUCUCCCUUGGGCACCUUGUGCUGGCAACAGUUUUUGGUGCCCAACAUGGGGCUCGAGGCUAACAUUUCGCCUUGCCCGGAUCCCUCCUGGGGUCGACGACUUGUGGCAACAACCGACGCCCAGCGCGCACCGGUGGUUUCAUCGGGGGCCUCAGCAGAGGCGUGAUUUGAUCGACCCCGGAGAGCACAACGGUGCAACGCGCUCAAAUAGUGGAGAAGCGAUCAUGGGCGACGGUGUGGAACUGGUCCCUCGGACAAGAUGUAAAUGGGCCUGGUAG